CGCUAUUCACUCCUACGGGAGGCAGCAGUGGGGAAUAUUGCACAAUGGGCGCAAGCCUGAUGCAGCCAUGCCGCGUGUAUGAAGAAGGCCUUCGGGUUGUAAAGUACUUUCAGCAGUGAGGAAGGUGGAGUCGUUAAUAGCGGCCUCAUUUGACGUUAGCUGCAGAAGAAGCACCGGCUAACUCCGUGCCAGCAGCCGCGGUAAUACGGAGGGUGCGAGCGUUAAUCGGAAUUACUGGGCGUAAAGCGCAUGCAGGUGGUUUGUUAAGUCAGAUGUGAAAGCCCGGGGCUCAACCUCGGAAUUGCAUUUGAAACUGGCAGACUAGAGUACUGUAGAGGGGGUAGAAUUUCAGGUGUAGCGGUGAAAAUGCGUAGAGAUCUGAAGGAAUACCGGUGGCGAAGGCGGCCCCCUGGACAGAUACUGACACUCAGAUGCGAAAGCGUGGGGAGCAAACAGGAUUAGAUACCCUGGUAG
RNAcentral lists this ribosomal RNA (474 nucleotides) under uncultured bacterium. Its description in RNAcentral is "bacterial SSU rRNA". It matches the Rfam family "Bacterial small subunit ribosomal RNA", at positions 327 to 793 of the family's 1533-position model. The record is from RNAcentral.